This 433-nucleotide ribosomal RNA is filed under the name uncultured bacterium. RNAcentral describes it as "partial 16S ribosomal RNA". It matches the Rfam family "Bacterial small subunit ribosomal RNA", at positions 29 to 507 of the family's 1533-position model. The record is from RNAcentral.
AACGAACGCUGGCGGCAUGCCUAACACAUGCAAGUCGAACGAGACCUUCGGGUCUAGUGGCGCACGGGUGCGUAACGCGUGGGAACCUGCCCUUAGGUUCGGAAUAACUCCCCGAAAGGGGUGCUAAUACCGGAUAAUGUCUUCGGACCAAAGAUUUAUCGCCUUUGGAUGGGCCCGCGUUGGAUUAGCUAGUUGGUAGGGUAAAAGCCUAACAAGGCGACGAUCCAUAGCUGGUCUGAGAGGAUGAUCAGCCACACUGGGACUGAGACACGGCCCAGACUACUACGGGAGGCAGCAGUGGGGAAUAUUGGAAAAUGGGCGAAAGGCUGAACCAGCAAUGCCGCGUGAGUGAUGAAGGCCUUAGGGUUGUAAAGCUCUUUUAACCGGGAUGAUAAUGACAGUACCGGGAGAAUAAGCUCCGGCUAACUCCGUG